UCCCUGGUAGCUCAGCGGUAGAGCAGUUGACUGUUAAUCAAUUGGUCGGAAGUUCGAAUCUUUCCCGGGGAGCCA
RNAcentral lists this transfer RNA (75 nucleotides) under Rickettsiales bacterium. RNAcentral describes it as "tRNA-Asn". It matches the Rfam family "tRNA". Rfam says of the family: Transfer RNA (tRNA) molecules are approximately 80 nucleotides in length. Their secondary structure includes four short double-helical elements and three loops (D, anti-codon, and T loops). Lineage: Bacteria; Pseudomonadati; Pseudomonadota; Alphaproteobacteria; Rickettsiales. The record is from RNAcentral.